AGGGAAAUAGCUCAGUGGCAGAGCACAUGCUUAGCAUGCACAAGGCCCUGGAUUCAAUCCCCAGUACCUCCA
Molecule: transfer RNA, 72 nt
Filed under: Camelus bactrianus (Bactrian camel)
Lineage: Eukaryota; Metazoa; Chordata; Mammalia; Artiodactyla; Camelidae
Also listed under: 2 other names
Rfam family: tRNA
About the family: Transfer RNA (tRNA) molecules are approximately 80 nucleotides in length. Their secondary structure includes four short double-helical elements and three loops (D, anti-codon, and T loops). Further hydrogen bonds mediate the characteristic L-shaped molecular structure. tRNAs have two regions of fundamental functional importance: the anti-codon, which is responsible for specific mRNA codon recognition, and the 3' end, to which the tRNAs corresponding amino acid is attached (by aminoacyl-tRNA synthetases). tRNAs cope with the degeneracy of the genetic code in two manners: having more than one tRNA (with a specific anti-codon) for a particular amino acid; and 'wobble' base-pairing, i.e. permitting non-standard base-pairing at the 3rd anti-codon position.
Source: Rfam by way of RNAcentral